UAGAAGAUUGUGUAGUGGAAGCACGGAGGAUUUUGAUUUCUCAUGUACGGGUUCGAGUCCUGUUUUUCUAA
Molecule: transfer RNA, 71 nt
Filed under: Microcaecilia unicolor
Lineage: Eukaryota; Metazoa; Chordata; Amphibia; Gymnophiona; Siphonopidae
Rfam family: tRNA
About the family: Transfer RNA (tRNA) molecules are approximately 80 nucleotides in length. Their secondary structure includes four short double-helical elements and three loops (D, anti-codon, and T loops).
Source: Rfam by way of RNAcentral